GGGGAAUAUUGCGCAAUGGGGGAAACCCUGACGCAGCAACGCCGCGUGAGCGAUGAAGGCCUUCGGGUCGUAAAGCUCUGUCUGGAGGGAUGAAAAAAAUGACAGUACCUCCGGAGGAAGCCCCGGCUAACUACGUGCCAGCAGCCGCGGUAAUACGUAGGGGGCAAGCGUUGUCCGGAAUUACUGGGCGUAAAGGGCGCGUAGGCGGUCUUGUAAGUCAGAUGUGAAAGUCCAGGGCUCAACCGUGGAAUUGCAUUUGAAACUAUAAGACUUGAGUGCAGGAGAGGAGAGCGGAAUUCCUAGUGUAGCGGUGAAAUGCGUAGAGAUUAGGAAGAACACCAGUGGCGAAGGCGGCUCUCUGGACUGUAACUGACGCUGAGGCGCGAAAGCGUGGGGAGCGAAC
Molecule: ribosomal RNA, 403 nt
Filed under: uncultured bacterium
Lineage: Bacteria
Description: bacterial SSU rRNA
Rfam family: Bacterial small subunit ribosomal RNA
Source: RNAcentral